Macrobrachium nipponense is the source of this 1496-nucleotide long non-coding RNA. RefSeq lists it as uncharacterized. NCBI's taxonomy places the organism in Eukaryota, Metazoa, Arthropoda, Malacostraca, Decapoda, Palaemonidae. The transcript has 2 exons. The record is from RefSeq and is a predicted model, not a curated record.
UGGCUAUUGAUGAGCCUAUAUAAGUGCCUGUAACAGCUAAUGCAGCUCAGUGCCAGUCAGACCGCUGUCUUAGCAACACGCACCACUACGCCGCGUCUCCUAAGCGCCCAGCAGCACCAAGCGAGGAUCUUCAGCAACGUUCUUCGUGAUAAUCAAGGACAGAAGUCUAUGAGGCGCAACUUAGUGUCUUUGAUUGUGUAACAAGACUAUUUUCCUCAUUUAAAGAUGCGUGUGAUACUCCUGCUGGUGGCCAUGAUGGUGCUGUUUUCAGCGGUGGUGGGAGCGGCGGCAAAUUCUCGCUUCUUCAAACCCCAGAGACUGUUCUUCCCCAAACCGAGAUUAGUCCCACGUGGUGCUGGAGCGAGAAGCAGGAACAGUGGUUGCGUCGACAGUGGCUUUGGGAUCAUCUCGUGUUGAGAGGCGGAGGGCAAACUGUUAUUUUUGCGAUAUUUAACUCUCCGAGGCACCAUGGUUCAACAUGAGGCUGCUUUACCAUCACCACGUCCCGUCUGUAGGUGUAGCGCUUAAGAUGUCCUGCCUCUGGUACAUUUGGCGUUACCUUUAAAAGGGCGCUACAAUGCUGUAUCAUUUCGGCCCUCGUUCUAUGCCUCUAUUGCUUUGCAAACCAUAUCUUUCAUUGGGUGCUGGCUCCAUUGGCAUCAAAGUGGCACAUUGCUGCUAGGGAGCUAGAAAAAGCAGACUAGGUAGAGGGCCAAUCUUUCGUACACGAAUAUGCCUUUGCGUGCCAGUUCAUAAAAUAAUCUCUUGGUCCAAUAAUAAUAACUAAGAACCAGUGUUGGUUUUCAUGAGGCACUCUUAAGAAACGUCAAUAAGCAAGAACUGCUCAAAUUUUUACUGUAUUUUCCUUUUUAUAUCUGUCCGUGCAUGGGAACUGAAACCAAAAUCCUGUCAUUAUUGAUUGACUCCCUUGCUAAUAUUUGGGUUACAGCUUUUUUCAAGCCACUAAUUCGUAGUUCAUACCAACAAGCAUCAUAUCUGAAUUAUGAUACAAUAUGCGCCACCCCCUCAACAGGGGUCAUCACCUAAAUCUCAAUGUUAUUAAAUGGUAUGCACAAGUUUCUGGAACUGGAAAAUUAUCUUGUGAUCACGGACAGAGCAGUCACAAUUUUAAGAAUGUUUACAAGACAAAGGCCAAUUUUUACCGAGAUUUUAUUGUUUGAACGCAAUUCUUCUUCGGCGAUUCUUGAAUGCCUAGAAAUCUAUGUAUGAAUGCUUCCGACGCACAAAAUUCAUAAUUCAUCUAGCAAACCAUCAUUUGGGAUUUUUUUCUAGUAGCUACGCCCCUAGAUAUUCUGAUCUAGAAAGCUGAAUUACAUUUCAUUUGCAGUGGCCUUUGGGCUGUAUUCAUUAUACAUCAUUCUGUGUGUCUGAAUUAAGUUAUCCAAUGUGAAAACACGUUUUCAUUCUUUCGCAUUGAAUUUAUGUAAAAGAAAAAUUAAUGGUUUGUAUAAUAAAUAAACUGCUAUGUUUCACUA